Molecule: ribosomal RNA, 665 nt
Filed under: uncultured bacterium
Lineage: Bacteria
Description: bacterial SSU rRNA
Rfam family: Bacterial small subunit ribosomal RNA
Source: RNAcentral
UAACGCGUGGAUAACCUGCCGUAUACCGGGGGAUAACACUUAGAAAUAGGUGCUAAUACCGCAUAAGCGCACGGCUCCGCAUGGGGCAGUGUGAAAAACUCCGGUGGUAUACGAUGGAUCCGCGUCUGAUUAGCUAGUUGGCGGGGUAACGGCCCACCAAGGCAGCGAUCAGUAGCCGGCCUGAGAGGGUGGACGGCCACAUUGGGACUGAGACACGGCCCAAACUCCUACGGGAGGCAGCAGUGGGGAAUAUUGCACAAUGGGGGAAACCCUGAUGCAGCGAUGCCGCGUGAGUGAAGAAGUAUCUCGGUACGUAAAGCUCUAUCAGCAGGGAAGAAAAUGACGGUACCUGACCAAGAAGCCCCGGCUAACUACGUGCCAGCAGCCGCGGUAAUACGUAGGGGGCAAGCGUUAUCCGGAUUUACUGGGUGUAAAGGGAGCGUAGACGGCAGCACAAGUCUGGAGUGAAAUCCCGGGGCUUAACCCCGGAACUGCUUUGGAAACUGUGCGGCUGGAGUGCAGGAGGGGUAAGCGGAAUUCCUAGUGUAGCGGUGAAAUGCGUAGAUAUUAGGAGGAACACCGGUGGCGAAGGCGGCUUACUGGACUGUAACUGACGUUGAGGCUCGAAAGCGUGGGGAGCAAACAGGAUUAGAUACCCUGGUAGU